Aotus nancymaae (Ma's night monkey) is the source of this 104-nucleotide small nuclear RNA. NCBI's taxonomy places the organism in Eukaryota, Metazoa, Chordata, Mammalia, Primates, Aotidae. The record is from Ensembl.
GUCUGCCUCAACAGCACAAAUACUAUAAUUGGAACAGGACAAAAAGGAUGGCAUGACCCCUGAUCAAGGACAACAUACAAAUUUGUGAAGUAUGUCUAUUUGAU